This 703-nucleotide long non-coding RNA is filed under the name Daphnia pulex (common water flea). Its description in RNAcentral is "uncharacterized LOC124192069, transcript variant X2". Lineage: Eukaryota; Metazoa; Arthropoda; Branchiopoda; Diplostraca; Daphniidae. The record is from RNAcentral.
AUUCCGAGCUGUUCUUUUGGUACUGGUUCUUUACUGACCGCUAGAUGCCACUGACUUCAAUUGAUUUUGUCAUUGAGUACAGACUGCAUCAUAAAACAUGGCGAAACAAAUUGUUGCUAUUUUAUACUUAUUUUUCUGUGAUUCCAAAUACCGAAUUGAACUUCGUUUGUAAAGUCUGUCAGUCAUUCCAACAAGUUGACUUAGUGCUCAGUCGCUUUCCAUCCAUUGGAUCCUUAUGCUGUCAAAAGCCUGAAACUCACAUUUGAAGCCCACAUACAGUGCAACUAGACAAAUGUGCCAAGAUAAGGUAUUCUUUCUCAUGGACCAUAGGAUCUUUUCCGAAUCUUGUGAUUUUGAUAGUGUAACCUGUGACUGCAUAUUUGUUAUUACGACCGCUUCUACAUCCAUUUAGAAGGCAACCCAGCUGAGAGAUAGAGUUCCAGUUUCAGUGACAUGAAGAGUGUGAAGUGAAUAGUCUGCCAUGCACUUGUACAUUUACCAGAUCUGCUUGAUGAAAGUGAAAUGCCUUACUAAAUUCAUCACCCGUAUGAUAAGCAUCAGGAAAUUUAUCUCAACAUAUGGAUUAUUGCUGUUGGUUGCUAUGGAUUCCAAUUUUACGGUUUUUUCAUCAUGAACAUUUCAGUGUGCUUCUUAGAAAAAAGCUCGCGCAGUUUCUUUAUGGUAUCGAGUGGUCCUGGCACGG